Long non-coding RNA from Gallus gallus (chicken), 469 nucleotides. The record is from Ensembl. NCBI's taxonomy places the organism in Eukaryota, Metazoa, Chordata, Aves, Galliformes, Phasianidae.
CUUGGAAGAAAAGUGAUACUUUGCUGAAAUGCAGGGCUCGCCGCGUCCCGCUCAGCCUGCGUUUGCCCUCUAACUACGGGGAGGAGUUCUGCUUUGUCUAUAUAAAGCUGCACUUUGCUGAACACCGUAACAGAACCAAACUUAGAGACUCCAUCACCCAUCCUCUGUGGGGAGAGCAGAGCAGCAGCAGCCAUGUUUGGGAUUGGGAAGAAGCUCGCCGAGGAAGCAACGCAACAGGCCGAGAGCGCUGCGCAGGCGGCAGUUAACACGGUGGGGCAGACUGUGCAGCAAGCAGUGGAGCAGGCCAAGGAUGCUGGUCAGAAAGCUCUCGAUGAGGUCUACAAGGUCGCUGAAACCGGUGAGAAAGCUGUAAAAAAUGUAGCAAAUCAAGCAACUGCCUGGGGCAAAAGCUUCGGACAAUGAAGAUAACGUAACACCACUGAAUGUAUUCUUAAAUAAAUAAAACCCC